CGCCUGAUAGCACAUGGUGUGCACUUGCUAACUGUUUGGGGUCGUAGAGGAAUUGUUAUGCGAGAGUCCCUCGUUCGAUUCGGGGUCGGGUGA
This is a non-coding RNA of Mycena metata, 93 nucleotides long. The record is from the annotation of a GenBank genome assembly. NCBI's taxonomy places the organism in Eukaryota, Fungi, Basidiomycota, Agaricomycetes, Agaricales, Mycenaceae.